RNAcentral lists this long non-coding RNA (1572 nucleotides) under Melopsittacus undulatus (budgerigar). RNAcentral describes it as "lncRNA (ENSMUNG00000021643.1)". The record is from RNAcentral. Lineage: Eukaryota; Metazoa; Chordata; Aves; Psittaciformes; Psittaculidae.
GGGGCCGGGGGGGGCCUUGUUGCCCAUGGCAACGGCCCUGGGGGCCGGGGGCAGAGAGUGAGGGGCACAUAGAGACCAUAGAGACCAUAGAGACACAUAGAGACACAUAGAGACACAUAGAGACACAUAGAGACCAUAGAGACACAUAGAGACACAUAGAGACCAUAGAGACACAUAGAGACCAUAGAGACACAUAGAGACACAUAGAGACCAUAGAGACACAUAGAGACACAUAGAGACCUAUAGAGACACAUAGAGACACAUAGAGACACAUAGAGACACAUAGAGACCCAUAGAGACACAUAGAGACCCAUAGAUCCCGCCCCAUAGCCCCUAUAGGUCCCUCCUCUCACCUCCAUUGGCUCCCAUAGGGAAGGGGCGGGGCCCCAACCUCCUCAAAGCCCCUCCCCCUUACGUCGCGGUGACGUCAUCACGUCACGAGGGGGCGUGGCCUCAGCUGCUCCCUUCCGCUUCCGACCUCGGGUCAUUAGCAUAUGGAUAUUGAUCUCGUCGCGACAUUAAUAUCGGCUCUGGAUGACGUCAUCGUGAUGGAUAAUUAAUGGGAUUAUCAAUGCAUUAAUGACUGCAGGAUCCCUGCCAGCGCCCAUGGACCCCAUAGAGCUCCAUUGACCCCUAUUGAUCCCCAUUGACUCUCAUUCAUCCCCAUUGACCCCCAUUGAUCCCCAUUGAUCCCCAUUGAUCCCCAUUGACCCCAUUGAUCCCCAUUGAUCCCCAUUGACCCCCAUUGAUCCCCAUUGACCCCCAUUGAUCCCCAUUGACUUCCAUUGACUCUCAUUGAUCCCCAUUGACCCCCAUUGACUCCCAUUGCCCCCCAUUGACCCCCCCCAUGUCCCAUCGGUACCGGUGCCGGUACGAGCGGCUGCGCCGCGCCGCGCGGGCUCUGGUGCUGGAGUCUGGAGCUCUGUGAGACACUGCCCAUUGACCCCUAUUGAUCCCCAUUGACCCCCAUUGAUCCCCAUUGACCCCCAUUGAUACCCAUUGACCCCCAUUGAUCCCCAUUGACCCCCAUUGACCCCCAUUGAUCCCCAUUGAUCCCCAUUGAUCCCCAUUGAUCCCCAUUGAUCCCCAUUGAUACCCAUUGACCCCCAUUGACUCUCAUUGAUUCCCAUUGACUUCCAUUGACUCCCAUUGAUCCCCAUUGACUCCAUUGACCCCCAUUGAUCCCCAUUGAUCCCCAUUGACUCUCAUUGACCUCCAUUGACUCUCAUUCAUCCCCAUUGACUCUCAUUGACUCCCAUUGAUUCCUAUUGACCACUAUUGAUCCAAUUGACCCCUCUUGACUCCCAUUGACACCCAUUGACUCCAUUGAUCCCCAUUGACUCUCAUUGACUUCCAUUGAUCCCCAUUGACCCCCAUUGACUCCCAUUGAUCCCCAUUGAUCCCCAGUAUGUCCCAUCGGUACCGGUGCCGGUACGAGCGGCUGCGCCGCGCCGCGUGGGCUCUGGUGCUGGAGGUUGGAGCUCUGUGAGACACUGCCCAUUGACCCCUAUUGAUCCCCAUUGAUCCCCAUUGAACCCCAUUGAACCCCAUUGAUCCCCAUUGACUCCCAUU